This 79-nucleotide transfer RNA is filed under the name Alphaproteobacteria bacterium. RNAcentral describes it as "tRNA-Met". Lineage: Bacteria; Pseudomonadati; Pseudomonadota; Alphaproteobacteria. The record is from RNAcentral.
CCCGGUUUGGCCACGGCAACCGCCCGAAGGCAGGCUCAUAACCUGAAGGUCAUAGGUUCAAAUCCUAUCCCCGCAACCA